Molecule: long non-coding RNA, 258 nt
Filed under: Gossypium barbadense (sea-island cotton)
Lineage: Eukaryota; Viridiplantae; Streptophyta; Magnoliopsida; Malvales; Malvaceae
Description: long non-coding RNA (GBAR_LNC014463)
Source: RNAcentral
UUUUUCAGAGUUUAGUUUAUUUGCUCGUUGCUUUCCUUCAAGAGAUCUGAUUUGUAAAGACGAUCAACUUCUGGAGAUUCGUGUUACUAUUUAUAUAAAUCAAGCUUUUCUCAAACUCUACACUUCAAUUCAUUCACCAUGCUUUAUUCUUCCACCUAUUCCAUAUUAUUUAUGAAAGUCGUGAGGAACUAAUCCUUCUAUGGGGGAUUAGGGAGUGGAGACAUGAUCUAUUAACUAUUUUGUUAGGUUACUCAACGG